CAGAACGUAGCUAAAAUUAUAGCAUUUCCCCUACACUGAAAAAGUAUUCGUUAAAGCCGAAUCGUUUUGA
Molecule: transfer RNA, 70 nt
Filed under: Priolepis semidoliata (half-barred goby)
Lineage: Eukaryota; Metazoa; Chordata; Actinopteri; Gobiiformes; Gobiidae
Description: tRNA-Val
Rfam family: tRNA
About the family: Transfer RNA (tRNA) molecules are approximately 80 nucleotides in length. Their secondary structure includes four short double-helical elements and three loops (D, anti-codon, and T loops).
Source: RNAcentral